RNAcentral lists this ribosomal RNA (404 nucleotides) under uncultured bacterium. Its description in RNAcentral is "bacterial SSU rRNA". It matches the Rfam family "Bacterial small subunit ribosomal RNA", at positions 29 to 433 of the family's 1533-position model. The record is from RNAcentral.
AUUGAACGCUGGCGGCGUGCUUAACACAUGCAAGUCGUGCGGUAACAGGCGUAGCAAUACGUGCUGACGAGCGGCGAACGGGUGCGUAAUACAUGGGAAUCUGCCUUUUAGUGGGGAAUAACCCGGCGAAAGCCGGGCUAAUGCCGCAUAAGAUCUUCGGAUGAAAGCGGGGGAUCGUAAGACCUCGCGCUGAUAGAUGAGCCCAUGCCGGAUUAGCUAGNGGUGAGGUAACGGCUCACCAAGGCGACGAUCCGUAGCUGGUCUGAGAGGACGGCCAGCCACACUGGGACUGAGACACGGCCCAGACUCCUACGGGAGGCAGCAGUGGGGAAUAUUGGACAAGUGGGGAAACCCUGAUCCAGCGACGCCGCGUGUGUGAAGAAGGCCUGCGGGUUGUAAAGCAC